Molecule: ribosomal RNA, 850 nt
Filed under: Streptomyces bottropensis
Lineage: Bacteria; Bacillati; Actinomycetota; Actinomycetes; Kitasatosporales; Streptomycetaceae
Description: bacterial SSU rRNA
Rfam family: Bacterial small subunit ribosomal RNA
Source: RNAcentral
CGAGAGUUUGAUCCUGGCUCAGGACGAACGCUGGCGGCGUGCUUAACACAUGCAAGUCGAACGAUGAACCACUUCGGUGGGGAUUAGUGGCGAACGGGUGAGUAACACGUGGGCAAUCUGCCCUUCACUCUGGGACAAGCCCUGGAAACGGGGUCUAAUACCGGAUACAACACUCUCGGGCAUCCGAUGAGUGUGGAAAGCUCCGGCGGUGAAGGAUGAGCCCGCGGCCUAUCAGCUUGUUGGUGAGGUAACGGCUCACCAAGGCGACGACGGGUAGCCGGCCUGAGAGGGCGACCGGCCACACUGGGACUGAGACACGGCCCAGACUCCUACGGGAGGCAGCAGUGGGGAAUAUUGCACAAUGGGCGAAAGCCUGAUGCAGCGACGCCGCGUGAGGGAUGACGGCCUUCGGGUUGUAAACCUCUUUCAGCAGGGAAGAAGCGAAAGUGACGGUACCUGCAGAAGAAGCGCCGGCUAACUACGUGCCAGCAGCCGCGGUAAUACGUAGGGCGCGAGCGUUGUCCGGAAUUAUUGGGCGUAAAGAGCUCGUAGGCGGUCUGUCGCGUCGGAUGUGAAAGCCCGGGGCUUAACCCCGGGUCUGCAUUCGAUACGGGCAGACUAGAGUGUGGUAGGGGAGAUCGGAAUUCCUGGUGUAGCGGUGAAAUGCGCAGAUAUCAGGAGGAACACCGGUGGCGAAGGCGGAUCUCUGGGCCAUUACUGACGCUGAGGAGCGAAAGCGUGGGGAGCGAACAGGAUUAGAUACCCUGGUAGUCCACGCCGUAAACGGUGGGAACUAGGUGUUGGCGACAUUCCACGUCGUCGGUGCCGCAGCUAACGCAUUAAGUCCCCG